Molecule: ribosomal RNA, 484 nt
Filed under: uncultured bacterium
Lineage: Bacteria
Description: partial 16S ribosomal RNA
Rfam family: Bacterial small subunit ribosomal RNA
Source: RNAcentral
AUUGAACGCUGGCGGAAUGCUUUACACAUGCAAGUCGAACGGCAGCACGGGGGCAACCCUGGUGGCGAGUGGCGAACGGGUGAGUAAUACAUCGGAACGUGCCCGGUCGUGGGGGAUAACGUAGCGAAAGUUACGCUAAUACCGCAUACGAUCUGAGGAUGAAAGCGGGGGACCUUCGGGCCUCGCGCGAUCGGAGCGGCCGAUGUCAGAUUAGGUAGUUGGUGGGGUAAAGGCCUACCAAGCCGACGAUCUGUAGCUGGUCUGAGAGGACGACCAGCCACACUGGGACUGAGACACGGCCCAGACUCCUACGGGAGGCAGCAGUGGGGAAUUUUGGACAAUGGGCGCAAGCCCGAUCCAGCCAUUCCGCGUGCAGGACGAAGGCCUUCGGGUUGUAAACUGCUUUUGUAUGGAACGAAAAGGCUCUGGCUAAUACCUGGGGCUCAUGACGGUACCGUAAGAAUAAGCACCGGCUAACUACGUG